Molecule: transfer RNA, 72 nt
Filed under: Camelus bactrianus (Bactrian camel)
Lineage: Eukaryota; Metazoa; Chordata; Mammalia; Artiodactyla; Camelidae
Also listed under: 2 other names
Rfam family: tRNA
About the family: Transfer RNA (tRNA) molecules are approximately 80 nucleotides in length.
Source: Rfam by way of RNAcentral
GAGGGUAUGGUUCAGUGGUAGAGCACAUGCUUAGCAUGCACAAGGUUCUGGGUUCAAUCCCCAGUACCUCCA